Molecule: ribosomal RNA, 425 nt
Filed under: uncultured bacterium
Lineage: Bacteria
Description: partial 16S ribosomal RNA
Rfam family: Bacterial small subunit ribosomal RNA
Source: RNAcentral
GUGGGGAAUCUUGCGCAAUGGGCGAAAGCCUGACGCAGCCAUGCCGCGUGAAUGAUGAAGGUCUUAGGAUUGUAAAAUUCUUUCACCGGGGACGAUAAUGACGGUACCCGGAGAAGAAGCUCCGGCUAACUUCGUGCCAGCAGCCGCGGUAAUACGAAGGGGGCUAGCGUUGCUCGGAAUUACUGGGCGUAAAGGGCGCGUAGGCGGACAGCUUAGUCAGAGGUGAAAGCCCAGGGCUCAACCUUGGAAUGGCCUUUGAUACUGGCUGUCUUGAGUUUGGGAGAGGUGAGUGGAACUCCGAGUGUAGAGGUGAAAUUCGUAGAUAUUCGGAAGAACACCAGUGGCGAAGGCGACUCACUGGCCCAAUACUGACGCUGAGGCGCGAAAGCGUGGGGAGCAAACAGGAUUAGAUACCCCGGUAGUCC